UUCUCUGACAGAUACUAACAACUGAAGUGAAUUAAAACUGAGACAGGGAGGCCACAUCUUUAAAGGCAAGCAGUAGCUGCAGAAAGUGCAUCUGCUUGCUGCACAUUUGACAGGAUUAGGUGACUCAGAUCUGUAAUGCUGGGAAUCAAACAAUCUCUGACUUUGAUAAUUUCCAAGGGCUUUGUCUCUUGUGUAUGUUAGGAUCAAUCUGCCUUGCUGGGCCAAUGUACAAUAGGGUUUUAAUUAUACCCAUGAGCAACUGAGACCUUGCAUAUAGCCAGAGGCUGACUGGUAAGAAUCUGCUCUGCUGACAACUUUAUUAACUCUAUUUGCCUCUGAUGGAGGAGUGCAUGGUUUCCAAUUGUAUCAGAAAUAGGAACCUAUUGAAGCCCAUUUACCCAGCAGAUCUGCAUAGAGAGGAUUAUUGGAACAUGGGCCUGAGUGCAGGUGUCUGAGAUGGUGUGAAUAUGGCUGUACUUGGGUGAGGUCUUUUGCUCCACCCCUUGGCAUUCCUUUAAAUACCCUAGGCCAGAUGGAUUAAAAUCCAGGCAAUCAUGAGGCUGAUGCAUUUUAAAUCUGGUUCUCUGCCCUCUAGACUUCUAAAUAAUAUUUCCUGCUGCUUCUAAGAAAGAGUACUCUGAAAAUGUGGGAGUCUGGAAUGCCCCUCUAAUGGGAACCAAGAGGGAGAGUGAUCUCAAAUCCACCAAUGGAAAGCAAAUCCUGGGGUACUCUUUGAGAUCUGCUUCAGAGUUGCUGAGUCAUUUCACCCUCCCAACUAAAUGUGUGCUGCAGCCGAAACAACAAAACUGAAAGUGGAUGACAGGAAAUGAUGUAAUGUUUCCUAGGCCCUCAAAGGAGAAGAGCAUCACGUGUGUUUUCAUUAAACUUGAAUGUGGAUAAGAACCAGUAAGGAGAGUAAACUCAUUCCCAGCAAUGCAAACCAAAUCCUGUGGUAAUCUUGGAAAUAUCCAUCAGUGUUUCUGAUACAUUUCUUCCUAUGCCUAAAUGUUUCCUGCAGAAGCCACAAAACUGAAUGGGCUAAGAAGUUGAAAAAAAUCAUGUGCAAGAGAUUUCUGUAUGCAGAACACAGUGAUAAUGGAAACCAAGAAUUCAAAGUUGAACCUGUGAGUACCUAAAAGGCAUCAGGAUGAAAACGAGUAAUUUUCCUGUGCUAUACUUUAUUUUCCAUACUUUAUUACCUUUGGUGACAGAUAGAGAAGUGACUGCCAAUGCUACUGCUCCAUAUUUUCGGUGACACUAAUGUUCAUGAAUAAAAGUACAAUGCCAUAGUCAUUCACAGAGUAAAUCUCCCAGGGCAGAGGAAAGAGCAGGAUUUUGCUAGUCUCUGGCAGGUACUGAGGCCUCAAGAAAAUCAUCUUCCUUGCCCAUAGAGCAGGACUUCAAGACUGACACAAGGAUGCCAUAUCUGUAAUGAGAGCAGUAGCUUCAGAAGAAGGAAAGAGCAGGACUCCCCUAGUCUCUGCCAGAACCUAAAGCCUGAAGUGAAUUCAAAACAAGGGAGGGAGACCACACCUUUUAAAGAGAAGCAGUGGCUGCAGAUUCAGGAAUCUGCUUGCUGCACAUUGCACAGGAUCAGAUGAUUCAGAUUUGUAAUGCUGGAAUCAAACAGUUGUUGAUUUGCUAAUUUCCCCGGAUCUGUCUCCCCUUGUGUUACAGGAGCAAGCUGCCUUGUGGGCACAAAUUAAUAAUGGUAUGUUGGUGUGCUCAUGAGCAACUGAGUCCCAGAAUACAGCCACAGGCUGACUGCUGAGAAACUGCAACAACUUUAUGAGCUCCUGUUGCUUCUGAUGGAGGAGGGUGUGCAUUCAAAUCUUGUUUGGAAUAGGAACCUGUUGGAGCCCAUUGAAGCUUUACCCAGCAGGACUGCUUAGAGAGGAUGAUUGGAACAUGGAUCUGAGUGCAGGUGUCUGAGAUGACCUGCACAUCUUCUGUGCUGAGGGGGGAGGUCUUUUGCUCCACCCCUUGGCAUUGCUUUAAAUACCCAAGGGCAGAGGCAGUAGAUACUUGAUGGAUUAGGUACAGGCACUCUUAAGUCAUGUAUUUUCUAUGUAUUUCUCUCUCCUAAAUCCUUUCAAAUAAUAUUUCCUGCUGCUUCUACUCAAGAAUUUUCUAGGGAAAUGAGGGAUGGAACAUGGCCCAAACCACAGGAAGCAAUAUGGAGAGAGAACCCAAUUCCACCAAUGGAAAGCAAAUCCUGGGGUACUCUUUGAGAUCUCCUUCAGAGCUGCUGAUUCAUUUCACCCUCCCAACUAAAUGUGUGCUGCA
Molecule: long non-coding RNA, 2286 nt
Organism: Peromyscus leucopus (white-footed mouse)
Lineage: Eukaryota; Metazoa; Chordata; Mammalia; Rodentia; Cricetidae
Exons: 3
Source: RefSeq, a predicted model, not a curated record